CUGCAGUGAAGAAGUGCACUGGGAGAAAAAGAGAGAUACAAAGUGUCAAAGAAUGAUGAUUUCUUUAGUGGCCAUAAAACUACAUGAAUUAAGGAACACACCGCAGGCUGAGCAUCCCAAGUCCUCCUAUGGCCUGUCUAGGCCCCGCCUGGACGGCAGAGUGGCUCGGGUGUGGUCAUAGUCUGGGUGUGUCCCGAUUGGCAUUCGGGGACAGCAAAGGAACCUAGCCACCGAGAGGGGCUGGGUAUAGAUGAUCACACUGACUCCUCUCUGGUGUUCGAGGUGCUACACCAUAAAGAAGCCAAAGAGGAUCCAGGAGCGCCCCUUUGUAGAGGAACGGGCCCUUUUCUGGGAACCUCGGCAGCUACGCACCUGCCAACCACAUCAGGAGCCCCUCUUCAAGUCCAGUCCUAGGUGAGCCACCCCUGAUGAAACCUCACGGAGCAGAAAUCAGCAGACCCUUCUCAACCAGGCCCAAACU
Long non-coding RNA from Mustela erminea (ermine), 481 nucleotides. RefSeq lists it as uncharacterized. The transcript has 3 exons. NCBI's taxonomy places the organism in Eukaryota, Metazoa, Chordata, Mammalia, Carnivora, Mustelidae. The record is from RefSeq and is a predicted model, not a curated record.